GAUGAAGAACGGUAGCGAAAUGCGAUACUUGGUGUGAAUUGCAGAAUCCCGUGAACCAUCGAGUCUUUGAACGCAAGUUGCGCCCGAAGCCAUUAGGCCGAGGGCACGCCUGCCUGGGUGUCACACGUCGUUGCCCCCCCAUCUACUCCUUCGGGAUUGCGGGGGGCGGAUGAUGGCCUCCCGUGCGCCUCGUCGCGCGGUUGGCAUAAAUGCCAAGUCCUCGGCGACGCACGCCACGACAAUCGGUGGUUGCGAAACCUCGGUUGCCCGUCGUGUGCGGUCGUCGCGCAUCGAGGGCUCGAAAAAAUUGCCGGGCUCCGGCUCGGCUUUCAACGCGACCCCAGGUCAGGCGGGGUUACCCGCUGAAUUUAAGCAUAUCAAUAAGCGGAGGA
This 392-nucleotide unclassified non-coding RNA is filed under the name soil metagenome. RNAcentral's name for it is "partial contains 5.8S ribosomal RNA, internal transcribed spacer 2, and large subunit ribosomal RNA". The stretch from base 1 to 123 matches the Rfam family "5.8S ribosomal RNA", at positions 35 to 154 of the family's 154-position model. The record is from RNAcentral.